ACUUUACAAUGCUGGCAACAGCGAUAAGGGAACCUCGAGUGCCAGGUUACAAAUCUGGCUGUCGAGAUGCCUAAAAAGCAUUUCAUAGCAAGGGCCGGGCAAGACCGGUGCCAGCCGCCGCGGUAACACCGGCGGCUCGAGUGGUAACCGUUAUUAUUGGGUCUAAAGGGUCUGUAGCCGGCCGGAUAAGUCUCUUGAGAAAUCUGGCAGCUCAACUGUCAGGCUUUCAGGAGAUACUGUCUGGCUCGAGGCCGGGAGAGGUGAGAGGUACUUCAGGGGUAGGGGUGAAAUCUUGUAAUCCUUGAAGGACCACCAGUGGCGAAGGCGUCUCACCAGAACGGACCUGACGGCAAGGGACGAAAGCUAGGGGCACGAACCGGAUUAGAUACCCGGGUAGUCCUAGCCGUAAACGAUACUCGCUAGGUGUCGGCCACGGUGCGACCGUUGUCGGUGCCGUAGGGAAGCCGUGAAGCGAGCCACCUGGGAAGUACGGCCGCAAGGCUGAAACUUAA
Molecule: ribosomal RNA, 512 nt
Filed under: uncultured Methanosaeta sp.
Lineage: Archaea; Methanobacteriati; Methanobacteriota; Methanomicrobia; Methanotrichales; Methanotrichaceae
Description: bacterial SSU rRNA
Rfam family: Archaeal small subunit ribosomal RNA
Source: RNAcentral